UACGUAGGGUGCGAGCGUUGUCCGGAAUUAUUGGGCGUAAAGGGCUCGUAGGCGGUCUGUUACGUCGGGAGUGAAAACUCGGGGCUCAACCCCGAGCCUGCUUCCGAUACGGGCAGACUAGAGGUAUGCAGGGGAGAAUGGAAUUCCUGGUGUAGCGGUGAAAUGCGCAGAUAUCAGGAGGAACACCGGUGGCGAAGGCGGUUCUCUGGGCAUUACCUGACGCUGAGGAGCGAAAGUGUGGGGAGCGAACAGG
RNAcentral lists this ribosomal RNA (253 nucleotides) under uncultured bacterium. RNAcentral's name for it is "partial 16S ribosomal RNA". It matches the Rfam family "Bacterial small subunit ribosomal RNA", at positions 524 to 776 of the family's 1533-position model. The record is from RNAcentral.